UGAGCAAUCUGCCCUUCUACAUCGGAAUAAGCGUUGGAAACGACGUCUAAUGCCGAAUACGACCUCCUUUCGCAUGAUCGGAGGUGGAAAGCUCCGGCGGAGAAGGAUGAGCUCGCGGCCUAUCAGCUAGUUGGUGUGGGUAACGCCCACCAAGGCGACGACGGGUAGCCGGCCUGAGAGGGUGACCCGGCCACACGUGGGACUGAGACACGGCCCAGACCUCCGUACGGGAG
RNAcentral lists this ribosomal RNA (233 nucleotides) under uncultured bacterium. RNAcentral's name for it is "partial 16S ribosomal RNA". It matches the Rfam family "Bacterial small subunit ribosomal RNA", at positions 118 to 347 of the family's 1533-position model. The record is from RNAcentral.